Molecule: long non-coding RNA, 673 nt
Organism: Olea europaea var. sylvestris
Lineage: Eukaryota; Viridiplantae; Streptophyta; Magnoliopsida; Lamiales; Oleaceae
Exons: 3
Source: RefSeq, a predicted model, not a curated record
GUAAAUAUUAUCUUGUCGACGCCGAUUUUCCAUUGGUUUCGGGAUUUCUUGCAUCAUACCGUGGGACUCGUUAUCAUCGUAGAGACAUUGAGGGCCAACAUCCUGAAAGUAAUUUCAUGGCACAUAAUCGACAAAGCUCUACAACACCGUUUCGAGUGCCUAGACCAACCAUCCAUUCAGAUGUGGAGGAAAUAAGCUCAACCCAAAUGGAUCCCAAUGCUAGGAAUCGUCAUGUGCUUUGGAGUGAUGCAAUGAAUGAUUGUAUGAUAACUGCAUUACUACAGCAAGUGUUGGUUGGUCACAAAAGGAGUGACAAUGGGUUUUCAUCAUAUCAUGUUUCCAAAGCAAUUGAUAGCGUGUAUAACGGAUGUGGAGUCAUGGUCUCGGAUAAGAAAGUAAGGGCGUGAUUGAAGACUCUAAAAAAAGAAUUUCUCGAAGUUCGCCAAUUGUUGAUUAUAAGUGGUUUUGGGUUAGAUCCUGACACUGGACGUGUCACAGCUGAUGUUAUAGCUUGGGAAGAGUUUUUGAAGGGGAAACCAGAAUUCGGAAAGUGGAGGACCAAGCUUUGUCCUCAUUAUGAUGAUAUGGAGGCUAUCUUUGGAAAUGACUCUGCUACGGGAGAUCACUCUGUAACCGGCAAUGAUAAUUUGUCUCCUAUUCCUGGUAUGUUAAC